AGAACGAACGCUGGCGGCAGGCUUAACACAUGCAAGUCGAACGCCCCGCAAGGGGAGUGGCAGACGGGUGAGUAACGCGUGGGAACAUGCCUUUCGGUUCGGAAUAGCUCCGGGAAACUGGGAUUAAUACCGGAUACGUCCUGGAGAAGAUUAUCGCCGAAGAUUGGCCCGCGUCUGAUUAGCUAGUUGGCGGUGUAAUGGACCACCAAGGCGACGAUCAGUAGCUGGUCUGAGAGGAUGAUCAGCCACAUUGGGACUGAGACACGGCCCAAACUCCUACGGGAGGCAGCAGUGGGGAAUAUUGGACAAUGGGCGCAAGCCUGAUCCAGCCAUGCCGCGUGAGUGAUGAAGGCCUUAGGGUUGUAAAGCUCUUUCGACGGGGACGAUAAUGACGGUACCCGUAGAAGAAGCCCCGGCUAACUUCGCGCCAGCAGCCGC
This 438-nucleotide ribosomal RNA is filed under the name uncultured bacterium. RNAcentral's name for it is "SSU rRNA". It matches the Rfam family "Bacterial small subunit ribosomal RNA", at positions 26 to 518 of the family's 1533-position model. The record is from RNAcentral.